This 2063-nucleotide ribosomal RNA is filed under the name Salmonella enterica. RNAcentral describes it as "partial 23S ribosomal RNA". It matches the Rfam family "Bacterial large subunit ribosomal RNA", at positions 890 to 2925 of the family's 2925-position model. RNAcentral also lists the same sequence under 1 other name. The record is from RNAcentral. Lineage: Bacteria; Pseudomonadati; Pseudomonadota; Gammaproteobacteria; Enterobacterales; Enterobacteriaceae.
UCAUCUCCGGGGGUAGAGCACUGUUUCGGCUAGGGGGCCAUCCCGGCUUACCAACCCGAUGCAAACUGCGAAUACCGGAGAAUGUUAUCACGGGAGACACACGGCGGGUGCUAACGUCCGUCGUGAAGAGGGAAACAACCCAGACCGCCAGCUAAGGUCCCAAAGUCAUGGUUAAGUGGGAAACGAUGUGGGAAGGCCCAGACAGCCAGGAUGUUGGCUUAGAAGCAGCCAUCAUUUAAAGAAAGCGUAAUAGCUCACUGGUCGAGUCGGCCUGCGCGGAAGAUGUAACGGGGCUAAACCAUGCACCGAAGCUGCGGCAGCGACGCUGAUGCGUUGUUGGGUAGGGGAGCGUUCUGUAAGCCUGCGAAGGUGGCCUGUGAGGGUUGCUGGAGGUAUCAGAAGUGCGAAUGCUGACAUAAGUAACGAUAAAGCGGGUGAAAAGCCCGCUCGCCGGAAGACCAAGGGUUCCUGUCCAACGUUAAUCGGGGCAGGGUGAGUCGACCCCUAAGGCGAGGCCGAAAGGCGUAGUCGAUGGGAAACGGGUUAAUAUUCCCGUACUUGGUGUUACUGCGAAGGGGGGACGGAGAAGGCUAUGUUGGCCGGGCGACGGUUGUCCCGGUUUAAGCGUGUAGGUGUGUGUUCCAGGUAAAUCCGGUUCACUUUAACACUGAGGCGUGAUGACGAGGCACUACGGUGCUGAAGCAACAAAUGCCCUGCUUCCAGGAAAAGCCUCUAAGCAUCAGGUAACAUCAAAUCGUACCCCAAACCGACACAGGUGGUCAGGUAGAGAAUACCAAGGCGCUUGAGAGAACUCGGGUGAAGGAACUAGGCAAAAUGGUGCCGUAACUUCGGGAGAAGGCACGCUGACACGUAGGUGAAGUGAUUUACUCAUGGAGCUGAAGUCAGUCGAAGAUACCAGCUGGCUGCAACUGUUUAUUAAAAACACAGCACUGUGCAAACACGAAAGUGGACGUAUACGGUGUGACGCCUGCCCGGUGCCGGAAGGUUAAUUGAUGGGGUCAGCGCAAGCGAAGCUCCUGAUCGAAGCCCCGGUAAACGGCGGCCGUAACUAUAACGGUCCUAAGGUAGCGAAAUUCCUUGUCGGGUAAGUUCCGACCUGCACGAAUGGCGUAAUGAUGGCCAGGCUGUCUCCACCCGAGACUCAGUGAAAUUGAACUCGCUGUGAAGAUGCAGUGUACCCGCGGCAAGACGGAAAGACCCCGUGAACCUUUACUAUAGCUUGACACUGAACAUUGAGCCUUGAUGUGUAGGAUAGGUGGGAGGCUUUGAAGUGUGGACGCCAGUCUGCAUGGAGCCGACCUUGAAAUACCACCCUUUAAUGUUUGAUGUUCUAACGUGGACCCGUGAUCCGGGUUGCGGACAGUGUCUGGUGGGUAGUUUGACUGGGGCGGUCUCCUCCUAAAGAGUAACGGAGGAGCACGAAGGUUGGCUAAUCCUGGUCGGACAUCAGGAGGUUAGUGCAAUGGCAUAAGCCAGCUUGACUGCGAGCGUGACGGCGCGAGCAGGUGCGAAAGCAGGUCAUAGUGAUCCGGUGGUUCUGAAUGGAAGGGCCAUCGCUCAACGGAUAAAAGGUACUCCGGGGAUAACAGGCUGAUACCGCCCAAGAGUUCAUAUCGACGGCGGUGUUUGGCACCUCGAUGUCGGCUCAUCACAUCCUGGGGCUGAAGUAGGUCCCAAGGGUAUGGCUGUUCGCCAUUUAAAGUGGUACGCGAGCUGGGUUUAGAACGUCGUGAGACAGUUCGGUCCCUAUCUGCCGUGGGCGCUGGAGAACUGAGGGGGGCUGCUCCUAGUACGAGAGGACCGGAGUGGACGCAUCACUGGUGUUCGGGUUGUCAUGCCAAUGGCACUGCCCGGUAGCUAAAUGCGGAAGAGAUAAGUGCUGAAAGCAUCUAAGCACGAAACUUGCCCCGAGAUGAGUUCUCCCUGAGACUUUAGGUCUCCUGAAGGAACGUUGAAGACGACGACGUUGAUAGGCCGGGUGUGUAAGCGCAGCGAUGCGUUGAGCUAACCGGUACUAAUGAACCGUGAGGCUUAACCUUACA